GGGCCCGAACCUGUAUAAAAAUCCUCGCCUCUGUCUCUUUUACUACAAUCUCGCAUAUAUAUUCUAGUACCAACGAUCCCCAUACUAUGCAAAUACCGGAAUCGCGACAUCAAACGUCGACACAUAUAAAGCCCUUUCUAAUUAUAUCUGUUCAAAACAAUUUCAGCCAGCUUGACAACAAUAAUUUCUCAGGAACCUCAAUUCCUUCAUCUUAUGCCAAUAUCACCACACUUUUGAAAUUGUAAGUAUUUCUUACUGCUGUCUGCAAUUCCACCUCUUACUGUAGUGCUGAAAUGAAUUUUAGGAGGGUUGCGUUUUGAAUGUCUUGCAAAUCAAGUGGUGAAGUUCUAUAUCAAGAAUAUAGGAGUUUGAGGAACUGCAGCUUGGAAGGACCUGUCCCUGAUGUCAGUGGAAUAGCCCAACUUGGCUAUUUGUAUGUGACGAAUUUCAAGACUGCAACCUCACUUUCUCAGGAGCAGAAAAUUCUAUUUCCGUAGUUAGCAGAAACAAAUUUGUGUGUGGCAGCUCUGAUCCUUGCCUUAUUUAUGUUCAGAGAUCUUAGUUGGAAUCAGUUGAGGGGUUUACCAUCUGGCCGACCAGCAAGCAACAUAAGCACGAUGUAUAAUAAUAGAUCCUUUACUAACAACUUGUGUUAUCUUUUGUUUAUUCAAUUUUACUAAGCAUUUGGCGACCAAGCUAUCUUUUUUGAUCAUUCUGAUUGCACAGACUUGCAGUUUUAGUUUAUAUGCAUGCUUAUACAAUUUUUGCAGAGAUCUUUCUCACAAUCUUCUAAACGGAUCCAUUCCUGGAAGUUUCUCUGGCCUUCCCAAUCUACAAAGACUGUAAGUAUGAUAUAUAUUUUGAGUUCAGUGAGUGCAAUAGGUAUGAUCCUUAGAUCAUUGGUAGAAGCAGGAUAGGGAUAAAGUAAAAGGGAAGAAGAACUUUACAGGGAAGAAAAGACAAGCACUUUUACUUCAUAACUGAUAUUUCUAAGCAUUAUUAUUUCCUAUUGGGUACCUAGAUAAACAGAAUUGAAUUGUGGUUCAGUUUCAGGAAUAGUUUCAAGAAGAUAUAUUGAAUGUAUGCAGAUCUGUAAAUUGUACAUUCUCAAAUGAGAUGUUAUGUGUUGCUUGCUCUAGCGAAAGGGAUUUCAUAUUGUCGCAUGUAGUAGUUGACAGGACAUUCUGGAUCAUCCAUCUGCCUCAUAGCACAACUUUCAUCAUUCUGCUACCAGCCCUUGGUCUCCUUCAAGAUAAGCAUCACAUAGUGGAAGCACUAAGAGCAUAUCAUUCAUCUUUUAUAUUCCCUUAUUGCUCCCACUAUUAGCCUAAUAAUGAUUGGAAAUAAAAAAAACGUUUCUAAGCCUAAGACGUUUUAAGAUGCAAGAAAGAUCAUACUCAUUGGAUACAAUUUUAUAUAAAAAUUGCAUAGUUUUUCUAAAGUUUAAUUCAGCAAGGUAUUGAGCUUCUCAAUGCAAGUCAUGUAAAUUAGGCGUUCUACUGAAUUUAUUUUGUUUCUUUUCAAUGGACCUGAAAACAUCAACAAAAACAAAAACACUUCGCUGAUUAUUUUUUACCAGUGCGAUGGAAGAUUUAGAACAGAUUAUACACUGUAGAACAAAUUAGAACUUGAUUUCUGUGAACAGAAACUGAAUGUUCAGUAAUUUUAAAUACUCCAAAUUAAUGCCCAAUGUUUCUACCUGAUCUAUUUGACACAACUGGGUGGUGGCUGAAAUCCAAAAAGGAAAUCAUGUUCGUGUUUCAGAUUUUCUUUUGCAGAGUAUCAAUUAGUCAAAAAUCAGUAUUGAUCAUCUUAUUGAUUCCUUACACUUGCAGUUCCAUAUUAUGGAAUGUAACUAACUAAUACUUCCAUGAUGUUUCUGUUGACAGAAUACCCUACCAGCUGUAGUGUUCAUGUAUCUUACUAAACUUUUUCAAACUACAAUAUUUGUCAGCCAUUAAGUGUACUCACAUAAUUAAAUUGAAAUGCGGAACUCAGAACUACACCAUUAAGUAACUAUGCCGACAAACAAUCUUGCCUAGCUUUCACCUGAAUGAUGAUGAUUCCAGCCAGAGCUUUGAGCUUGAUCUUGGAUUUUGUCCCUUUUUCCACACGCACACAAAAAAAAAAAAAAAAAAAAAAAAAACUUUGGUGUGGACAUAUCUCAAGGUGGAACUCUGAGUGUUCUACUCGAGGGAAGUAUCCUUACUAUGACUUGAGAAAUUCUGAUGUAUGAGCAAUUGCUUUAUUACACUUUUCAUGGUAAGAACGUUCUUCAGUUGAUCAUCAUGAGUUUGCUGCAUUUUUGUUCUUCUGAUUGACAUCGCAUCCUAUUGUCUCUUUACUUCUCCAAGGUUUCAGGAUAAUUAAUCUAUACAUGAAUGCAAGAUGACUCAGAGGAGGUACUAAAUCCUUGCAGAAACAUGCAUGAUCUUUAGCCAUUAUCUGACAAAUAUAUGAGUGCAACUGAACAAUUGACUAAAUAUUGGCUAAUGUGUGAGCUUAUGUGUUAUGUGGGGAAUCACCUACAAGAAGCACGGGAAGCAGCGAGUCGACUGCGCAUCAUUGAAUUUUUCCACCAAUUCAGGAUUAAUUCAGAUAUUGGUUUUCCCUUUCUGUUUUUCCAUUCUGUUUUUUGUUUCCAGUUUCAAGUCUGGUUGGACAUUCACAUUGAAAAAAAAUAUGUUAGAAAUAGCAAAUCAUGCGUUUUUUUUUGGCAGGCUCCAUUUCAAACACAUUGCCUCCUUUUUGUCAUCAAGAUAUUACCUCAAUCAUGACUAUUGAAACGCCUAA
Molecule: non-coding RNA, 2793 nt
Organism: Oryza sativa Japonica Group (Japanese rice)
Lineage: Eukaryota; Viridiplantae; Streptophyta; Magnoliopsida; Poales; Poaceae
Source: RefSeq, a predicted model, not a curated record